Molecule: long non-coding RNA, 976 nt
Filed under: Salvator merianae (Argentine black and white tegu)
Lineage: Eukaryota; Metazoa; Chordata; Lepidosauria; Squamata; Teiidae
Description: lncRNA (ENSSMRG00000004277.1)
Source: RNAcentral
CUUCAUUUAACAGUCUUGGCUUCCUCCAUAAAGUCCUGGAGCUCCUGACUACAGGAUGUGAGGGCACUCACCUCUUUUGUGUAGUGUGGUCCGGAACCCUUUUCAGCCCCCUCCGUGGGCAGGACGGCAGCAUGCGUCAGAGCACAUCAGUACACAUGCAUGUGACCUCAUAGAGAUCAUCUACUCCAUCUUCACUUGUCCUCCAAUAUUGUCCCAAGCACUCAUUAAGUUUACCAUUGGAGAAAUGCCAGGUUAACACAGUAGUGGUGCCCAUUACGUGAAAACAGAAUUGUUGCUGGGAAGCGCAAUUUAAAGCAAGCUUUUGCCUUGAAAAGGGCAUUUGUGAGGGGUCUGAUAUCCCGAUGAAGGGCCAGGAUUUCUGGUACUGCAUCUUGAAAAUAUGUUACCCUGCUGCCUCCUAUUUGUAGGUUUGACAAAUUUCAGAGGUUCCCAGCUAGAAGAUGGUCUGUUCUUGCUGGGGCUGAAUUUCUGUGGAAAGGAUAAUCAUAUAACUUACAGAUAUUCUGGGACCCAUUUUUGUCAUUUUAGGCUCNGGUGAUAUCAGUGAUUAAGGAGUGUUUUUUCUGGUUUUAUCUAGUUCUCCAACAUAUCUCAUUCUGGUCAGGCAUAGCUUGCACAUCACACUGGUUUAAAAGGAUUUGCAGUGGUUGCCUGUUUUGCACCAAGUCCAGUUCAAGUACCUAACCCUGACAUACAAAGUCCUCAGUGACUUGGGCUCCAAGUAUUAUGUCUAAACAAAUACCUCUUUCUGCAGAGAUCUAUCUACGCAUUAAGAUCUGAUGGGGCAGCCCUGCUAUAAUGCCACCAUUCUUGAUGGUUUGAAAGAUGUGCAUGUAUCUAAGGGCCUGAUUUGUGACGGCCCCAUUGUCAUAGAAAAACUUGUUCCCAAGGGCACUGGCGAAGCAUAGGCUGUAACUACAGUAAUAAAUAAUAAGUUCAACAUUUAAAGUCUGCA